RNAcentral lists this ribosomal RNA (501 nucleotides) under uncultured bacterium. RNAcentral's name for it is "partial 16S ribosomal RNA". It matches the Rfam family "Bacterial small subunit ribosomal RNA", at positions 30 to 523 of the family's 1533-position model. The record is from RNAcentral.
AUUGAACGCUGGCGGCAGGCUUAACACAUGCAAGUCGAGCGGAGAUGAGGUGCUUGCUACCGGACCUAGCGGCGGACGGGUGAGUAAUGCUUAGGAAUCUGCCUAUUAGUGGGGGACAACAUCUCGAAAGGGAUGCUAAUACCGCAUACGUCCUACGGGAGAAAGCAGGGGAUCUUCGGACCUUGCGCUAAUAGAUGAGCCUAAGUCGGAUUAGCUAGUUGGUGGGGUAAAGGCCUACCAAGGCGACGAUCUGUAGCGGGUCUGAGAGGAUGAUCCGACACACUGGGACUGAGACCCGGCCCAGACUCCUACGGGAGGCAGCAGUGGGGAAUAUUGGACAAUGGGGGGGACCCUGAUCCAGCCAUGCCGCGUGUGUGAAGAAGGCCUUAUGGUUGUAAAGCACUUUAAGCGAGGAGGAGGCUACUCUAGUUAAUACCUAGGGAUAGUGGACGUUACUCGCAGAAUAAGCACCGGCUAACUCUGUGCCAGCCGCCGCCGUAA